GAUGAACGCUGGCGGCGUGCCUAAUACAUGCAAGUCGAGCGAACGGACGGGAAGCUUGCUUUUCUGAUGUUAGCGGCGGACGGGUGAGUAACACGUGGAUAACCUACCUAUAAGACUGGGAUAACUUCGGGAAACCGGAGCUAAUACCGGAUAAUAUUUUGAACCGCAUGGUUCAAAAGUGAAAGACGGUCUUGCUGUCACUUAUAGAUGGAUCCGCGCUGCAUUAGCUAGUUGGUAAGGUAACGGCUUACCAAGGCAACGAUGCAUAGCCGACCUGAGAGGGUGAUCGGCCACACUGGAACUGAGACACGGUCCAGACUCCUACGGGAGGCAGCAGUAGGGAAUCUUCCGCAAUGGGCGAAAGCCUGACGGAGCAACGCCGCGUGAGUGAUGAAGGUCUUCGGAUCGUAAAACUCUGUUAUUAGGGAAGAACAUAUGUGUAAGCAACUGUGCACAUCUUGACGGUACCUAAUCAGAAAGCCACGGCUAACUACGUG
RNAcentral lists this ribosomal RNA (497 nucleotides) under uncultured bacterium. RNAcentral describes it as "partial 16S ribosomal RNA". It matches the Rfam family "Bacterial small subunit ribosomal RNA", at positions 28 to 507 of the family's 1533-position model. The record is from RNAcentral.